GUUCUGCAGUGGGUACGGGCAGACUAGAGUGAUGUAGGGGAGACUGGAAUUCCUGGUGUAGCGGUGAAAUGCGCAGAUAUCAGGAGGAACACCGAUGGCGAAGGCAGGUCUCUGGGCAUUAACUGACGCUGAGGAGCGAAAGCAUGGGGAGCGAACAGGAUUAGAUACCCUGGUAGUCCAUGCCGUAAACGUUGGGCACUAGGUGUGGGGGACAUUCCACGUUUUCCGCGCCGUAGCUAACGCAUUAAGUGCCCCGCCUGGGGAGUACGGCCGCAAGGCUAAAACUCAAAGGAAUUGACGGGGGCCCGCACAAGCGGCGGAGCAUGCGGAUUAAUUCGAUGCAACGCGAAGAACCUUACCAAGGCUUGACAUGAACCGGUAAUACCUGGAAACAGGUGCCCCGCUUGCGGUCGGUUUACAGGUGGUGCAUGGUUGUCGUCAGCUCGUGUCGUGAGAUGUUGGGUUAAGUCCCGCAACGAGCGCAACCCUCGUUCUAUGUUGCCAGCGCGUUAUGGCGGGGACUCAUAGGAGACUGCCGGGGUCAACUCGGAGGAAGGUGGGGACGACGUCAAAUCAUCAUGCCCCUUAUGUCUUGGGCUUCACGCAUGCUACAAUGGCCGGUACAAAGGGUUGCGAUACUGUGAGGUGGAGCUAAUCCCAAAAAGCCGGUCUCAGUUCGGAUUGGGGUCUGCAACUCGACCCCAUGAAGUCGGAGUCGCUAGUAAUCGCAGAUCAGCAACGCUGCGGUGAAUACGUUCCCGGGCCUUGUACACACCGCCCGUCAAGCCACGAAAGUUGGUAACACCCGCAGCCGGUGCCCUACC
RNAcentral lists this ribosomal RNA (824 nucleotides) under Arthrobacter sp. R63. Its description in RNAcentral is "bacterial SSU rRNA". It matches the Rfam family "Bacterial small subunit ribosomal RNA", at positions 618 to 1439 of the family's 1533-position model. Lineage: Bacteria; Bacillati; Actinomycetota; Actinomycetes; Micrococcales; Micrococcaceae. The record is from RNAcentral.